RNAcentral lists this long non-coding RNA (1151 nucleotides) under Equus asinus (donkey). Its description in RNAcentral is "lncRNA (ENSEASG00005024946.1)". The record is from RNAcentral. Lineage: Eukaryota; Metazoa; Chordata; Mammalia; Perissodactyla; Equidae.
AGGCAUCACCACCUACUUCCCCUCAGCAGUGGGUCCUUGGUGACCCUCUGGCUGGCAAAUGAUCCCAUCCUGAGGGCCUGCUUCCCAGGACCAUGUCUGGUAUUGUCUCAGGUUGGGGCCCCCAGAAGCCGACCCUGAGAAAAAGAUUUGAGAGCGCAUCAUUUAUUUAGGAGGUGACCCCAGGAAGCCCCUGCAGGGGACAGGUUCUUUCUGCCAUCAUGAAUGUGGCAGAAAGUUGUCAUGAUGCUACAGCAUUUCUCAAGCGUGGUUGUUUCAGGGGAAGAGACUCUGAGGCAGAGAGGAACAUGCAGGAGGUUGAUUAGAGACCGCUCUUGGGAUCAACACCGCUGGAAGAGAAUGCAAUGGAAGGAAGCAAGAUUGGGCAGAAGGAGAAGCUGAUCUGUGAUGCAAGCCCCGUGGGGAGCUCUGAAAAUGGAGGAUGACCAAAGAAUGGCCUUGGUGAUAGAUGAGAUGACCCAGCUGGAGGGUGUAGACAGAGAACGGUCCAGGACCAGUGCUCAGGAAGGUCCAGAUUUAAUGGCUGGGCAGAGGCAGAUGAGUGCACAAUGGAGACCAAGGAGACUCUUCCAGAGAAGUAGGAGGAAACCAAAGAGAUGCGGCCUCCCGGAAGUGACAAGACGAAAAUAUUAUAAGGAGGAGGAUGUGGCCAUGUGCUGGAAGAGGGAUAACAGCAGAUAAAUGAAGAUAAUCUGGACAGCGGUCUGCUUUUGGGGGAACUUAAGCCAACACAAGCUCGAUGGAGAGGACGAGGUUGAAAGUAAAGAAGAGAGAGGAUGCAAAAGAAGGAGCAGAUCCCCAGGGGGUCUAGGGGGGCCGUGUAAGCUGGCAGCCCUCAUGCGACGUUCCGGAGCCGGUGGCACAAGGGGGUCUACAGAGAGAAGAGAGCGGCUCUGCAGGGAAUGAGAAGGAGGAGAGUGGGGGACUCGGACUGAGCGUGGAGAACAGCCACUUGCAUUGCGGUCUCUCCAGUUUCCCAUUUCAAACUCUGGGUCAGCGUGGCAGUCCUUCCUGCCUGUGGGUUCCAUAUGACAUCUGUAAAAUGGGAUGGGAUGGUACCCACCUCCAAGGGUGACUGAAGAUGAGGAACAGCCCGUGUGGGUGCUCAAUAAAUGCUGGCUCUUACUCAGCCA